Molecule: RNA transcript, 1887 nt
Organism: Musa acuminata AAA Group (dessert banana)
Lineage: Eukaryota; Viridiplantae; Streptophyta; Magnoliopsida; Zingiberales; Musaceae
Gene name: E3 ubiquitin-protein ligase BIG BROTHER
Exons: 10
Source: RefSeq, a predicted model, not a curated record
AACACGAAUCCCAAGCCCCUUGCCAUCUCUCUCUCUCCUCACGCCUUGCAAGCAAGAGAGAAGACCGCAGUAUAGAGAGAGAGAGAGAGAGUGAUCGUUCUUUUCCCCCUUUAGCUCACAGAUUUGCAGAGCAUCCUUUCCUCCUCAAGCUCACAAGAACUCCGCAUCUCUGUCCGCUGUUAAUCCAAGCAUUCCCCUCUUCAUCACGGCAUUGAUCUAACCCGAGUACUUGAUCGGAGAUCACCGCCCGCCUUCGCCGGUCGCGCUGGAAGGCGUCGAGAUUUGGGCUCUCUCGGUGCUUUUCUUGAAGAGACCGCAGAGGUCGCCGAACAUUACGUCUACUUCGGGGUUUUGGUUCAAGAUCAUGAUCUGUUUGUCGCUCCUUUGGGGAAUGGCUUGCAGAGUGUAGAGGAUGCCUGACAUAGAUGGGUAGAAGCGUGAUUUGCUGGACUUGAUGCUGUCUUAUUCCUCAUGAAACAAGAAACUUCUUAAUUCUAAUACUAAUGGAUUCCAGUAGAAUAGGAGGAAACAUGAGCCAUAGUCGCCAGAUGGAAGUUCAUUAUAUAGAUACUGGAUUUCCCUACACUGUUACAGAGAGCUUUAUGGAUUUGUUUGAAGGCCUUAUGUAUCCUCAGACCGAUGCCAAUUCAGCAGAAGUUUUUCAGGAUCAGGGAAAUGCAUAUCACUCAACAGUUCAUACAAGCUCAUUCAAGUAUGGGUUUUCUAGUGCAGCUAGUGAUUCAUAUUACAGUUUCGGCCAUGCGUAUGAGAUAAAUUGUUUUACUCCACAAUUAGACGCAGCAAGGAGGAUGUGGGAUGACCCUGCCCCAUUGAACAUAUUUGACUCACCACAACUAUUUCUGCAUGGGAAUUUAGGUGUGGAAACAAGAACACCUAGUGCCGAAGAAUGCAUUCAGGUGCGAGAGAAUACAAAUGAUGGUGCAAAUGGUGGUCAGGCUGUUUGGCAGGACAACAUAGACCCAGACAACAUGACAUAUGAGGAGUUACUUGAUUUGGGUGAGGCAGUUGGAACACAAAGCCGUGGUCUUUCUCAAGAUCAUAUUUCUUCACUUCCUGUCUCGAAAUACAAGUGUGGCUUCUUUUCUAGGAAAAAAUCUCAGGGGGAGAGAUGCAUCAUUUGCCAGAUGAACUACAAGAGAGGGGAUAGACAAAUUACUCUACCAUGCAAGCAUGUCUAUCAUGCUAAUUGCGUGACACAGUGGCUUAGCAUAAACAAGGCAUGUCCAGUUUGCUUGGUGGAGGUCUCAGUUGAGGAGCCUAGGCGUCAAUGAAUUCUAGUUGGCGACUCGCACGGAAGUUUUUGGCUAUUUUCAUCACUUAAAAUUGCAUCUCUUUUUCUUUUUUUUGCUUCCCUUUUCUAUUUCAUCUUCAUGUUUGCAAACAUGGAACUGGACCAGUUACACUGUUCUCCUUCUGUCUGGUGUGGCGCAAGGAUCAUGCUUUUGCAGACCACCCACUUGGCAAUCCAUCUGAUGAGUAAAGGAAGUUAAAGAUUCCUGAAUUCAUUUCCAGAGAAUGCAUGACGGAGGAGUCGUCAUGACGAUAAAGUUCUAACAAGCAGAUGUCCAUCUGCCCUAAUAUUUUGUGGUAUCAAUUCAUAAUAUCAAUCUUGUGUGUUGAAUUGUCCAUCUCAUUGUUGAUCUGUAGCUCCAGAGUCGAUUGGUCUUGGAGAUAAAUCCGAGGUGCCAAAUUUCUUGCCAAGACAAACACUGCAUUAUCUAUGACUGUAGUCGGCACCCAUCUCAUAUUGUUUGCGUGUGUUUUUAGUUUAUUAUUAUUAUUAUUAUUGAAGUCAAGUCAAGCUACAAUUGACUCUGCUGGUUUAGACCCAGUAAUCCUUGUCCUGAAUCCAAGCCUACCUGAUUG